AUCAAACUUGAGAGUUUGAUCCUGGCUCAGAACGAACGCUGGCGGCAUGCCUAACACAUGCAAGUCGAACGGAGGCCCGAAGCUUGCUUCGGUUACCUUAGUGGCGAACGGGUGAGUAACACGUGGGAAUCUACCUAAAAAUGGGGAAUAACUAUUGGAAACGAUAGCUAAUACCGCAUAAUCCCUCCGGGGUAAAGGCUUCGGCUGUUUUUAGAUGAGCCCGCGCUAGAUUAGGUUGUUGGUGGGGUAAAAGCCUACCAAGCCUGCUAUCUAUAGCUGGUCUGAGAGGAUGAUCAGCCACACUGGGACUGAGACACGGCCCAGACUCCUACGGGAGGCAGCAGUGGGGAAUAUUGGACAAUGGGGG
This 367-nucleotide ribosomal RNA is filed under the name Rickettsiales bacterium TMED127. RNAcentral's name for it is "bacterial SSU rRNA". It matches the Rfam family "Bacterial small subunit ribosomal RNA", at positions 1 to 377 of the family's 1533-position model. Lineage: Bacteria; Pseudomonadati; Pseudomonadota; Alphaproteobacteria; Rickettsiales. The record is from RNAcentral. RNAcentral also lists the same sequence under 1 other name.